Molecule: transfer RNA, 73 nt
Organism: Alkaliphilus metalliredigens QYMF
Lineage: Bacteria; Bacillati; Bacillota; Clostridia; Peptostreptococcales; Natronincolaceae
Rfam family: tRNA
About the family: Transfer RNA (tRNA) molecules are approximately 80 nucleotides in length. Their secondary structure includes four short double-helical elements and three loops (D, anti-codon, and T loops).
Source: Rfam
GGGCGCAUAGCUCAGCUGGGAGAGCACCUGCCUUACAAGCAGGGGGUCACAGGUUCGAGCCCUGUUGCGCCCA